RNAcentral lists this ribosomal RNA (846 nucleotides) under Pseudomonas sp. SPD8. RNAcentral describes it as "partial 16S ribosomal RNA". It matches the Rfam family "Bacterial small subunit ribosomal RNA", at positions 116 to 958 of the family's 1533-position model. The record is from RNAcentral. Lineage: Bacteria; Pseudomonadati; Pseudomonadota; Gammaproteobacteria; Pseudomonadales; Pseudomonadaceae.
CCUAGGAAUCUGCCUGGUAGUGGGGGACAACGUUUCGAAAGGAACGCUAAUACCGCAUACGUCCUACGGGAGAAAGCAGGGGACCUUCGGGCCUUGCGCUAUCAGAUGAGCCUAGGUCGGAUUAGCUAGUUGGUGGGGUAAUGGCUCACCAAGGCGACGAUCCGUAACUGGUCUGAGAGGAUGAUCAGUCACACUGGAACUGAGACACGGUCCAGACUCCUACGGGAGGCAGCAGUGGGGAAUAUUGGACAAUGGGCGAAAGCCUGAUCCAGCCAUGCCGCGUGUGUGAAGAAGGUCUUCGGAUUGUAAAGCACUUUAAGUUGGGAGGAAGGGCAGUAAGUUAAUACCUUGCUGUUUUGACGUUACCGACAGAAUAAGCACCGGCUAACUCUGUGCCAGCAGCCGCGGUAAUACAGAGGGUGCAAGCGUUAAUCGGAAUUACUGGGCGUAAAGCGCGCGUAGGUGGUUUGUUAAGUUGGAUGUGAAAGCCCCGGGCUCAACCUGGGAACUGCAUCCAAAACUGGCAANCUAGAGUACGGUAGAGGGUGGUGGAAUUUCCUGUGUAGCGGUGAAAUGCGUAGAUAUAGGAAGGAACACCAGUGGCGAAGGCGACCACCUGGACUGAUACUGACACUGAGGUGCGAANGCGUGGGGAGCAAACAGGAUUAGAUANCCUGGUAGUCCACGCCGUAAACGAUGUCANCUAGCCGUNGGNAUCCUUGAGAUUUUAGUGGCGCAGCUANCGCAUUANGNUGACCGCCUGGGGAGUACGGCNGCAAGGUNAAAACUCAANUGANUUGACGGGGNCCNGCACNAGCGGUGGAGCAUGUGGUUUANUUCGANGCA